CUCCGGUUGAUCCUGCCGGACCCGACUGCUAUCAGAGUGGGACUAAGCCAUGCGAGUCGACGUAGCAAUGCGUGGCGAACGGCUCAGUAACACGUAGUCAACAUGCCCAGGGGACGUGGAUAACCUCGGGAAACUGAGAAUAAACCACGAUAGGUCACGAUUUCUGGAAUGGAUCAUGGCCUAAAUCUACAUGGCCCCUGGAUUGGACUGCGGCCGAUCAGGCUGUUGGUGAGGUAAUGGCCCACCAAACCUGUAACCGGUACGGGCUCUGAGAGGAGAAGCCCGGAGAUGGGCACUGAGACAAGGGCCCAGGCCCUAUGGGGCGCAGCAGGCGCGAAACCUCUGCAAUAGGCGAAAGCCUGACAGGGUUACUCUGAGUGAUUUCCGCUAAGGGGAUCUUUUGGCACCUCUAAAAAUGGUGCAGAAUAAGGGGUGGGCAAGUCUGGUGUCAGCCGCCGCGGUAAUACCAGCACCCCGAGUGGUCGGGACGAUUAUUGGGCCUAAAGCAUCCGUAGCCGGUUCUACAAGUCUUCCGUUAAAUCCAGCCGCUCAACGGAUGGGCCGCGGAGGAUACUACAGGACUAGGAGGCGGGAGAGGCAAGCGGUACUCAGUGGGUAGGGGUAAAAUCCUUUGAUCCAUUGAAGACCACCAGUGGCGAAGGCGGCUUGCCAGAACGCGCUCGACGGUGAGGGAUGAAAGCUGGGGGAGCAAACCGGAUUAGAUACCCGGGUAGUCCCAGCUGUAAACGAUGCAGACUCGGUGAUGGGCUAGCCUUGUGCCAGCCCAGUGCCGCAGGGAAGCCGUUAAGUCUGCCGCCUGGGGAGUACGGUCGCAAGACUGAAACUUAAAGGAAUUGGCGGGGAGCA
Molecule: ribosomal RNA, 867 nt
Filed under: uncultured archaeon
Lineage: Archaea
Description: bacterial SSU rRNA
Rfam family: Archaeal small subunit ribosomal RNA
Source: RNAcentral